This is a non-coding RNA of Acanthosepion pharaonis, 103 nucleotides long. NCBI's taxonomy places the organism in Eukaryota, Metazoa, Mollusca, Cephalopoda, Sepiida, Sepiidae. The record is from the annotation of a GenBank genome assembly.
UUACGGCCACAUCACGUUGAAACACCGAUUCCCAUACGAUUACCGAAGUUAAGCAACGUCGAGCCUGAUCAGUACUUAGAUGGCUGACCGCCUGGGAAUAUCA